CUUUAUAGUAUAUGGUGACUAUAAGCCCCCGUUUGGUUCGGGGUUAAGAAAAAGUAGCUAUUCCAGGGAUAGGGUUAAGUUCAGGGUUAAAAUGGUGUUAAAAUUUUUUUGUGUUUGGUUGGAGGUUGGAGUUAGUCUAGGAUAGUGAAAAAAAGUGUUUGGUUGGAGUAGGUAGGAUAAGAAAAUAAUGAUUGAUAAAGAAGAAAAAGAUGAGAGCUCGGGAUGCGUGCGGGGUUAAAGUUGGGAGGGGGAGUGGGGUUAAUGAUUGAUAAAGAAGAAAAAGGUGAGGGCUCGGGAUGCGUGCGGGGUUAAAGUUGGGAGGGGGAGUGGGGUUAAUGAUUGAUAAAGAAGAAAAAUGUGAGGGCUCGGGAUGCUUGCGGGGUUAAAGUUGGGAGGGGGAGUGGGAUUAGUAAAUCCCACUAACCCGGUUUGGGGUGGAGUUUACUAAUCCCAUCCCAAAAGAGUGAUGUUUGGAUAUAAAUUAGGGGUUAAGGGGUUAUUCCACCUCUUAAUCCUCAACCAAACGGUGGCUUAAAGUGAUAAAAUACUAGACUACU
Molecule: long non-coding RNA, 557 nt
Filed under: Ananas comosus (pineapple)
Lineage: Eukaryota; Viridiplantae; Streptophyta; Magnoliopsida; Poales; Bromeliaceae
Description: long non-coding RNA (ACOM_LNC018809)
Source: RNAcentral